This is a non-coding RNA of Nicotiana tabacum (common tobacco), 567 nucleotides long. The record is from RefSeq and is a predicted model, not a curated record. Lineage: Eukaryota; Viridiplantae; Streptophyta; Magnoliopsida; Solanales; Solanaceae.
AUCUCUCUACCAAUAGGAGUGCUAGUGUGCUACUGCAACUGUCGCAUAGUGCGGCUGCUACUGCUAUUAUGCCACGGCGCUUUGCCAUGGAAAAUAACAAAUCCUACCCACUCAUUCACUUAUUUUUUUGCGUUAAGAGUACUCAUCAAAACCACAUUGCCAAAGCUGCUCUGCUCUCUUUCUCAAAAACCCAAUUAUCACAAAUUCACAAGCGUGAUGACGAAGAGGAAGAAAAAUAAGAGCUUGAGGAAGGAAGAAAUAGCGGAAGACUGGUGUUUUGUUUGCAAAGAUGGUGGCCAACUGCUAAUAUGUGAUUAUGGGCGAUGCCUGAAAGCGUAUCACCCUCUAUGUGUGGGGAAAGAUGACUCAUUUUUGACAAGUGAUGGACGCUGGACAUGCGGUAAGCUCUUGUUCUAUUUUCUUCAAGCAAAUCUGAUACUGCAAUAUUCUCUUUUUUGUUGUGUGUCUGGAGAUUCUUCUUUUGCUAAGUUAUUCAUUUCAAAUAGUCAAGUGAAAAAUGAAAAAGAAUUGUACUUUUUAGGCAACGAGCUAUUCAUUUUCUAGCCA